GAUUAACGCUGGCGGCGUGCCUAACACAUGCAAGUCGAACGAGGUAGCAAUACCUAGUGGCAGACGGGUGAGUAACGCGUGGUCAACCUACCGUUGAGUGGGGGAUAACUAGCCGAAAGGUUAGCUAAUACCGCAUACGUCUCCGGAGGGGCAUCCCUUGGCGAUAAAAGGAGCAAUCCGCUCGAUGACGGGACCGCGUCCCAUUAGCUAGAUGGUGGGGUAACGGCCUACCAUGGCACCGANGGGUAGCUGGUUUGAGAGAGCGACCAGCCACACUGGGACUGAGAAACGGCCCAGACUCCUACGGGAGGCAGCAGUGGAGGUAAUUUUCCGCAAUGGGGCGCAAGCCUGACGGAGCGACGCCGCGUGUGGGAAGAAGGCC
RNAcentral lists this ribosomal RNA (382 nucleotides) under uncultured bacterium. Its description in RNAcentral is "bacterial SSU rRNA". It matches the Rfam family "Bacterial small subunit ribosomal RNA", at positions 28 to 416 of the family's 1533-position model. The record is from RNAcentral.